GGAAAGCUGCCAGAGCCUGGCUAAAUGGGCCCGCCUCGAAAGCGGUGCGACCUACGGGUCACGGGGGUUCGAAUCCCUCGCUUUCCGCCA
This 90-nucleotide transfer RNA is filed under the name Pseudomonas taiwanensis. RNAcentral describes it as "tRNA-Ser". It matches the Rfam family "tRNA". From Rfam's summary of the family: Transfer RNA (tRNA) molecules are approximately 80 nucleotides in length. Their secondary structure includes four short double-helical elements and three loops (D, anti-codon, and T loops). Further hydrogen bonds mediate the characteristic L-shaped molecular structure. tRNAs have two regions of fundamental functional importance: the anti-codon, which is responsible for specific mRNA codon recognition, and the 3' end, to which the tRNAs corresponding amino acid is attached (by aminoacyl-tRNA synthetases). tRNAs cope with the degeneracy of the genetic code in two manners: having more than one tRNA (with a specific anti-codon) for a particular amino acid; and 'wobble' base-pairing, i.e. permitting non-standard base-pairing at the 3rd anti-codon position. RNAcentral also lists the same sequence under 1 other name. Lineage: Bacteria; Pseudomonadati; Pseudomonadota; Gammaproteobacteria; Pseudomonadales; Pseudomonadaceae. The record is from RNAcentral.